GACGAACGCUGGCGGCGUGCUUAACACAUGCAAGUCGAACGGAAAGGCCCUGCUUUUGUGGGGUGCUCGAGUGGCGAACGGGUGAGUAACACGUGAGUAACCUGCCCUUGACUUUGGGAUAACUUCAGGAAACUGGGGCUAAUACCGGAUAGGAGCUCCUGCUGCAUGGUGGGGGUUGGAAAGUUUCGGCGGUUGGGGAUGGACUCGCGGCUUAUCAGCUUGUUGGUGGGGUAGUGGCUUACCAAGGCUUUGACGGGUAGCCGGCCUGAGAGGGUGACCGGCCACAUUGGGACUGAGAUACGGCCCAGACUCCUACGGGAGGCAGCAGUGGGGAAUAUUGCACAAGGGGCGGAAGCCUGAUGCAGCAACGCCGCGUGUGGGAUGACGGCCUUCGGGUUGGAAACCGCUUUCGCCUGUGACGAAGCGUGAGUGACGGUAAUGGGGAAAGAAGCACCGGCUAACUACGU
This 467-nucleotide ribosomal RNA is filed under the name uncultured bacterium. Its description in RNAcentral is "partial 16S ribosomal RNA". It matches the Rfam family "Bacterial small subunit ribosomal RNA", at positions 28 to 506 of the family's 1533-position model. The record is from RNAcentral.